AUUGAACGCUGGCGGCAGGCCUAACACAUGCAAGUCGAACGAGUGGCGGACGGGUGAGUAAUGUCUGGGAAACUGCCCGAUGGAGGGGGAUAACUACUGGAAACGGUGGCUAAUACCGCAAACCAUCGGAUGUGCCCAGAUGGGAUUAGCUAGUAGGUGGGGUAAUGGCUCACCUAGGCGACGAUACCUAGCUGGUCUGAGAGGCUGACCGUCCACCCUGGAACGGAGACACGGCCCAGACUCCUACGGGAGGCAGCAGUGGGGAAUAGUGCACAAUGGGCGCAAGCCUGAUACAGCCAUGCCGCGUGGAUGAAGAAGGCCUUCGGGGUGUAAAGUACUUUUAGCGGGGAGGCGUUACUCGCAGAAGAAGCACCGGCUAACUCCGUGCCAGCAGCCGCGGUAAUAC
This 406-nucleotide ribosomal RNA is filed under the name uncultured bacterium. RNAcentral describes it as "partial 16S ribosomal RNA". It matches the Rfam family "Bacterial small subunit ribosomal RNA", at positions 29 to 526 of the family's 1533-position model. The record is from RNAcentral.